ACUGACCUUUCCAGAAGUUCCACGACUUCCAGACUUCUACUGACCUACAUCUACAGAGAGAGAGGAACGAUCCGGAGAGAGAUAGAGAGAUCGGGUCUGAGAGAGAGCAAUCCAGAGAGAUAUCAAGGACGAUCCACAGAGAGAUAGAGAGAUCGGGUGCGUGUUUUUUGCUUUGUACAGAGAGAGAGAGAGAGAGAGAGAGAUAGCUGAUAGUCACAAAAGGGGAUUUUCACCUCAUCAUCUGAGUACGAAGAUAAUUGUGCUUGGGUUUUGAAGAUAAUCGUGCUAGAUCAACCAGACCAUGGAGUAAGAAGGAAGCUAGAGACCAGAAUGAUCACAUACUGUGCAAGUUAAGCUAAGGACAAAUACAGAUCUUAUGGUCAGCAGACAGCAGUCAAUUUGAGUGCCUCCAACAUGGAUGAUGCUAAAGCCCGUGCUGCAAGUGCGCUUGAGGUCUCUGCUGUCAUUCACAGUUCUAAGUGUUGUCAACUGGAGUAUCUGCCUGUUUUUGCUUAGUUGAUUGGGUGUUGCUGUGUCUAGCGUGAGGGUAAUCAGUCAUACGAAGGACCACUAGAAGUAUGAGGAAAAAGCAGAUGACCCUUCAACAUGCACAGGGAAAAAUCAGCAUUGUUCAGUAUCACAGUUAAUGCUGGUAUGAGAAUAUAUCUAGCAUAAUAUAUUCAGAAAUUUGAGGACAUUCGGAAAGAAUUUACAUCAGCAGACUGACUUCAACUGAAUCAUAUCAUUCACAAGAUUUUGUUGACAGACAAGCUAUGUAAUACAUGGAUUCCACUUAUGGCGAAGCCCAACUGUCCAAGUCCAACUCAAGUAGCAAUAGGGCAAAAGCAAAAGUGCAAAACCUAGACAACGUCAUCCCACUAUCGAGUCUCUCACUCUCUCUCAAACGUAGGUCGCCUCUCUCUCAAAGACUCAAACACUCUUUCAGACCCUCUCUUCCUUCAGAGUCCAGACUGCCUCUCGCUCAGCCACCGCCUCCGGCGGUUUUGGACCUGCAGAUCAAGUGGUAGACUGGGUAGAGUCGUAGAGAUUGUUCCGGUAGGCUUGCGACGAGUCGGAUUGAAGAUCGAGGAGGAGUAGACGAAGUAGGCGACGCGAGAUUGCGACGCGAGCUGAGGCUGUGAGAAUAGAUCCGUGGGUGGGGGAGCUGAGGUUGUGAGAAUAGAUCCGUGGGUGGGUGAGCUGAGGCUGUGAGAAUAGAUCCGUGGGUGAGGCAAAUUGUGACGCGAGCUGAGGCAGUGGAGUAGGCAACGUCGACGCAGAAGGUGUGGACUUCGUUCCUGGUCUUCGGCAUGCAUCCACCGCCGACGCAUAAGAGCGAAAACAGAGAUCGGUGAUCUCCUUAGAGCUAUAAAAAUGGUGACGUCGUCGGCGGUCAACACUUAUCCACUUGGUGAGGUUCUUUGUUUGGUGAAAACUUGAUUGUGCAAAGCUUUGCAAGUGUUGAAUUACAUUCAACUUUUUGGGAAUUGAUACAAUUUUUGUAUCAAACAUUACAACUUUUUGGGAAUUGAUGAGGACUUGAUCAGUUCUUGUAUCAAAUCAGUUUUUGUAGUUUUGGUAGCCUUAGUGGCUUAGUGCCUCAGUGCAAUUAAUCAGUCAGAAUGUGAGUUUCAGAUUUUUUAUGUGGGAUUUGUAAUUAACUCAGGUUC
Rosa rugosa (rugosa rose) is the source of this 1670-nucleotide long non-coding RNA. RefSeq lists it as uncharacterized. The transcript has 9 exons. NCBI's taxonomy places the organism in Eukaryota, Viridiplantae, Streptophyta, Magnoliopsida, Rosales, Rosaceae. The record is from RefSeq and is a predicted model, not a curated record.